AUUUAGGGGUUAGCAAUAAUUCAACAUGUUUUUGUUUUUUUUUAUAAGUAUGUUCCGGUUUAAGUGGAUGUUAUACCGAAUUACCGGUACUGCUCUUGGACCAGGUGCUUCGGAUUAACUUGUAAAUUAAACACAAAACCGAAACAAAAAAGAGCAUCAGAAAUAUUUUGGAAAAAGCUGUUCGGGCUGGAGAUAAUCACAAGGGAAUGGUUGGUCGUCACAAGCUGCAACAGAUCAGUCAUUGAAAGACACCAUGGAGAAGUUUCCAAGCUUUUGAAGCAAAGGUACACAUGUGUGGUUGACCACAGAGAUGCUCUAAUCCUUUGAUAAAGAGGGUUGAGCUGAGGGACAACAUGUAAUUUUCAUCUUUCGAGCUUGUUGACCUCUGGGAACAUGAAAGGAAAAGGUCUCGGCGCAACGAUUUGGUCUCUUCUUCUAACAAGUUGAUGUUAAAGUGCUCGAUCCCCUGGACCCUGAUAAAGCGAUCUUGCAUAUCUUUGCCCUGAAAAAAGUGGAAAAUGAGCAUCGCAUUCAUCAAUCAGUAAGAAUAAGGAAGUGGAGCCCUACCAUGAUAGCACAUGGUCUUGCUUGUAUGGCUUGUUACAGGGAUUCUGGUAAGGCCUAAGACAUGCAAUGAGUCUGGGGUAUGUGGAGAGUACAGAAGGGUCCUCAAUUCUUUGGUCCCAGAAUAGAUUAUGCUGGCAAUUAGUUUUCCAGACCUUGAAAGCUACGGUACUGGAGACCUAGACAAUUUUGUUGACUGGAUGGAAGAAAAGUGGAGCUAGUUUCGCCAUUUUAACAGUAAGGUAAGCUCUAUUGUCUUCAUCUACUCAAGUUGGGUUUUGAACCUUUUGUUAUAGAUAAUACAAAGAAGAGAAUAAAGACGAAUAAACCAUAGCUUUGAAAUGUGAAAUGGUUGUUUUCAAUGGAGACUUUGUUAAGACUUGCAAAUAAUUGAUGGAAGUCUGAGAGUUUAUUUUUCAAUGGAAGGGCCCAUUAGGUUCAGGGUUACAAAAUGGAUAGUUCAACCUUUUCUCAAUAUGCUCACCCAUCUUUUCAAGGUCUAAACGAGGACCUCCAAUAUUUUAAGUGGCUAAUUAACCGAAAUACUUCUAAUUAAUUUUUUUUAAUUGGUAGUAUUAAAUAGUGAUAUCACUACCAGAAAUUCGCUAAAUAGC
This is a long non-coding RNA of Populus trichocarpa (black cottonwood), 1178 nucleotides long. RefSeq lists it as uncharacterized. The transcript has 3 exons. The record is from RefSeq and is a predicted model, not a curated record. Lineage: Eukaryota; Viridiplantae; Streptophyta; Magnoliopsida; Malpighiales; Salicaceae.